CAACGUCGUUCAUUGUUGGCCUUCUACUGGAAUUUGCCGCUACACAAGCCAUUGCCACUUCCGCCGUCUUCCAAACAGAGGAAAAUAAAAGAAAAACGAAGCAAUGAAAUUGAUGACGCUUAAAACUAGUACUUACUCUGGAUCAAGGUAACCAGGUGUGCCAGCGACAACCGUCGACAUGUGGGUGUUGCCAUCGAUGGGAAAGCUUUUGGAAAGACCGAAAUCGGCAAGUUUGCCUUGGAAAUUAUCUGUCAACAAGAUGUUUGUUGUUUUCACAUCUCUGUGAACAAUUGGUGGCUUACAACCGUAAUGCAGUUGUCAAAAACUUAGCGGUGGACAACAGAAAUUCAUAACGCUUUGAUCAGCUUGCAGCAGGAGAGGGACCUUAGCUAUCUUUGCUAGCCUGUUGUCAUCACGUUGCCAGUCGUUUUGAAAUUGGAAUAGGGAAGCUUCAUGUGAUGUCCCACCUUAGUUGGAGAGGAGAACAAAUCACAAUUUAUAAGGGUGUGGAAACCUUCCCCUAGCAGACGCGUUUUAAAGCCUUGAGGGGAAGGCCCAAAGAGGACAAUAUCUACUAACAGUGGAUCUAGGUCGUUACACUUAUCUCUUAGACCUCACACAAGGAGAAGAAGACUCCCUGUAUUUCCAAACUUGAGCGAAGGAAGCUUAAGAUAUGACACUCGAAUGUUGGGGAUCGAUCGUAGACGACAGGAUGGUAACUAGCUUUGACAAGGAGACAACGACGACACCAAGGAAAAAGAGAAGAAAGAUGAGAAAAAGAAAGGUACUCGUAUGAAUAUAGUUUAACGGGUCUAAACGUAUAUNAACUCAAA
Cucurbita maxima (winter squash) is the source of this 833-nucleotide long non-coding RNA. RefSeq lists it as uncharacterized. Lineage: Eukaryota; Viridiplantae; Streptophyta; Magnoliopsida; Cucurbitales; Cucurbitaceae. The transcript has 4 exons. The record is from RefSeq and is a predicted model, not a curated record.